This 65-nucleotide transfer RNA is filed under the name Dipodomys ordii (Ord's kangaroo rat). It matches the Rfam family "tRNA". From Rfam's summary of the family: Transfer RNA (tRNA) molecules are approximately 80 nucleotides in length. Their secondary structure includes four short double-helical elements and three loops (D, anti-codon, and T loops). Lineage: Eukaryota; Metazoa; Chordata; Mammalia; Rodentia; Heteromyidae. The record is from Rfam by way of RNAcentral.
GGUGGCUCAGUGGUAGAGCACAUGCCUUGCAUGCAUGAGGCCGUGGGUUCGAUUCCUCAGCACCA